This 279-nucleotide ribosomal RNA is filed under the name Listeria monocytogenes. Its description in RNAcentral is "partial 16S ribosomal RNA". It matches the Rfam family "Bacterial small subunit ribosomal RNA", at positions 46 to 313 of the family's 1533-position model. Lineage: Bacteria; Bacillati; Bacillota; Bacilli; Caryophanales; Listeriaceae. The record is from RNAcentral.
GCCUAAUACAUGCAAGUCGAACGAACGGAGGAAGAGCUUGCUCUUCCAAAGUUAGUGGCGGACGGGUGAGUAACACGUGGGCAACCUGCCUGUAAGUUGGGGAUAACUCCGGGAAACCGGGGCUAAUACCGAAUGAUAGAAUGUGGCGCAUGCCACGCUUUUGAAAGAUGGUUUCGGCUAUCGCUUACAGAUGGGCCCGCGGUGCAUUAGCUAGUUGGUAGGGUAAUGGCCUACCAAGGCAACGAUGCAUAGCCGACCUGAGAGGGUGAUCGGCCACAC